AAAAACAGAGUUAUUUCGCCAAAUUACAAUUUUUUCGUAAAAAAGACAAGAAGGGAACAAAAGAAUUGAAUGAAAUAAGACAUAAAGGAUUUUUCGCACUACAUGAGAUUUGAGUAUCAAAGAUUUCUUGCAGUGUUGGUACUAGCAGAGAGGCACAAAAAUUGGUGCCUCUAAUGUUAUAAUCAUGGAUAUCUCUUGGUAACUUACUAAGGAUGGUAAAAAUAACAAAGAGAUAACGCAUAGCAUAAUUAUUGGUGUUUGAACAAGAGAUCACUCCUGUUUUAAAGAUCUGAACUCAAAUUUUCACUAUCCAAACCAUAAUCAUCAGUGGGCACACAUCAUAGUUAGGCCGGCGCAUGUAAUUUUCUUGGCCAGUGACCAUAAACACACUGUCAAGGAAAUGAAAAUAUCUGUUACCUACUUACUACUCACAUCCCUAGCUAGUCUUCCGUUCUUGACUCAUGUUCCCUCCUUUGAAACAACAGCAUAUGGGGGGACACCUCACCCCAUAUUAAACAUAACCAUAAUCAUCGUGAUCAGAACAUAACAUCACCACCGAUUAACCUAACGACAUCUCCUCCCUACUUUAUUCGGCACUAACCACUAGUUAAUCACUAACCAGAAUCACACACAAGAAUGAAGCUAAUACCACUGCACUUAGCAAAGCAUGACUCUUAUUUUAUUUUGCUUGAGUACAC
Molecule: long non-coding RNA, 698 nt
Filed under: Setaria viridis
Lineage: Eukaryota; Viridiplantae; Streptophyta; Magnoliopsida; Poales; Poaceae
Description: long non-coding RNA (SVIR_LNC008945)
Source: RNAcentral